RNAcentral lists this non-coding RNA (26 nucleotides) under Cricetulus griseus (Chinese hamster). The record is from RNAcentral. Lineage: Eukaryota; Metazoa; Chordata; Mammalia; Rodentia; Cricetidae.
GUGCUUGGACUGAUUGAUACCUGAAG